AGACCAGCAGCCCCCUCUGCACAUGGAGGACAGGUCCCAUGGGUGGUCACAAGAGUCAAAUCCACAGGGGAGCCUGGAAGCAGGAGCGCUGGCUUGGAGCCAUUCAGCCCGGGGCUGGGGUCCAGGGUCUCUCCUUCUCUACCUGUGGGCAUGGGCAAGUCACACGGCCUUUCUCAGCCUCAGUGUCCCCAUCUGAAGCACGAGGACAGCAGACUCCUCGUCCUGACUGCUGAACGAGCAAACCCUGACACAGAGCCGUUGCGUGGCGACAUUAUCAUCCGAACGCUCGCUCGGCGCGGGGUGGGGGGGUGAAUACGAGAACAGAGACAUGACAGCCUCCCCCAGCUCCCCAGGGACAGCCCCGCGGCCCCCGCCAGCCCUGAUGGAAGUGCAGAUGUGAUCUCUGAAGGAGACGGGUCCCCUGGUCGCUGUCUCCAGAUGUGACGCCCUUGGGAGGCCGUGGGGAACACUCUGGAUUGGAGAGUGGGGACGUUCCACUGGGGUCUGGUGCCCGGUGCUGUGUGGGACGGCAGCCGCAGGCCACAUGGAGCUGUGGAGCCCAGGAGGGAUGAAAAACAGACUGGACUUGGAGGACUUCGGAUGAAAAAUAAUGAAGAGAGCUCUCCAAUGAUCCUUUGUACUCAUGACGUGUGGAAAUGACAGUGUUUCCAUGUGUUGGGUUAAAUAAAAUAUGUGGUAACAGA
Ictidomys tridecemlineatus (thirteen-lined ground squirrel) is the source of this 704-nucleotide long non-coding RNA. RefSeq lists it as uncharacterized. The record is from RefSeq and is a predicted model, not a curated record. NCBI's taxonomy places the organism in Eukaryota, Metazoa, Chordata, Mammalia, Rodentia, Sciuridae.